This 254-nucleotide ribosomal RNA is filed under the name uncultured bacterium. RNAcentral describes it as "partial 16S ribosomal RNA". It matches the Rfam family "Bacterial small subunit ribosomal RNA", at positions 524 to 776 of the family's 1533-position model. The record is from RNAcentral.
UACGAGUGCCUCAAGCGUUAUCCGGAAUUACUGGGCGUAAAGGGUGUGUAGGCGGUCGUAAUUAGUCUUUCGUUAAAGCCCCGGGCUUAACUCGGGAUCUGCGAAAGAAACGGUACGACUAGAGAAUGCGAGGGGUAUGCGGAACUCAAAGUGUAGGGGUGAAAUCCGUUGAUAUUUUGGGGAACACCAAAAGCGAAAGCAGCAUACUGGCGCAUUUCUGACGCUGAGACACGAAAGCGUGGGUAGCGAAUGGG